GAAACGCGAUAGUUAAUGUGAAUUGCAGAAUUCAGUGAAUCAUCGAGUCUUUGAACGCACAUUGCGCCCAUAGGUAUUCCUUUGGGCAUGUCUGUUUGAGCGUCAUUACAACCCUCAGCUAACCGCUGGUUUUGAACCUGAACGGGUGACACCGCGCCGGUUUUAAAGUUGUAAGCUCUGCUGGCCGCACUGCCCAACCAGAACAUAGUAAGCACUACUUGUCCGGGUGAAGCUGAACGGUACGGCCUGAACAAAACCUACCCACUCUCAAGGUUUGACCUCAGAUCAGACAAGGAUACCCGCUGAACUUAAGC
Molecule: unclassified non-coding RNA, 314 nt
Filed under: plant metagenome
Description: partial contains 5.8S ribosomal RNA, internal transcribed spacer 2, and large subunit ribosomal RNA
Rfam family: 5.8S ribosomal RNA (bases 1-105)
Source: RNAcentral